AGAUUGAACGCUGGCGGCAGGCCUAACACAUGCAAGUCGAGCGGUAGAGAGGUGCUUGCACCUCUUGAGAGCGGCGGACGGGUGAGUAAUGCCUAGGAAUCUGCCUAGUGGUGGGGGAUAACGUUCGGAAACGGACGCUAAUACCGCAUACGUCCUACGGGAGAAAGCGGGGGACCUUCGGGCCUCGCGCCAUUAGAUGAGCCUAGGUCGGAUUAGCUAGUUGGUGAGGUAAUGGCUCACCAAAGGCGACGAUCCGUAACUGGUCUGAGAGGAUGAUCAGUCACACUGGAACUGAGACACGGUCCAGACUCCUACGGGAGGCAGCAGUGGGGAAUAGUUGGCCAAGUGGGACGAAAAGCCUGACUCCAGCCAUGCC
Molecule: ribosomal RNA, 376 nt
Filed under: uncultured soil bacterium
Lineage: Bacteria
Description: bacterial SSU rRNA
Rfam family: Bacterial small subunit ribosomal RNA
Source: RNAcentral